UGGCGAACGGGUGAGUAACACGUUGGUGACCUGCCCCGAGGUGGGGGAUAACUCCUCGAAAGAGGAGCUAAAACCCCGGAUGUCUGAGGUGUUAGAGGCUUCAGACUAAAACUGAGGUGUCUCGGGAGGGGCCUGCGGGCUAUCAGCUAGUUGGUGAGGUAAAGGCUCACCAAGGCGCACACGGCUACGGGGCGUGAGAGCGUGAACCCCCACAAGGGAACUGAGAGACUUGUCCCUACUCCUACGGGAGGCAGCAGUGAGGAAUAUUGAGCAAUGGGCGCAAGCCUGACUCAGCAACGCCGCGUGGACGAUGACGGCCUUCGGGUUGUAAAGUCCUUUUCUGAGGGACGAUGAUGACGGUACCUCAGGAACAAGUCCCGGCUAACUACGUGCCA
RNAcentral lists this ribosomal RNA (395 nucleotides) under uncultured bacterium. Its description in RNAcentral is "bacterial SSU rRNA". It matches the Rfam family "Bacterial small subunit ribosomal RNA", at positions 96 to 510 of the family's 1533-position model. The record is from RNAcentral.